UAGCCUCUCACUCCCUAUGGUGUCUGUCUGU
This 31-nucleotide non-coding RNA is filed under the name Homo sapiens (human). The record is from RNAcentral. Lineage: Eukaryota; Metazoa; Chordata; Mammalia; Primates; Hominidae.